This 107-nucleotide small nuclear RNA is filed under the name Phocoena sinus (vaquita). The record is from RNAcentral. RNAcentral also lists the same sequence under 1 other name. Lineage: Eukaryota; Metazoa; Chordata; Mammalia; Artiodactyla; Phocoenidae.
GGGCUCACUUUGGCAGCACAUAUACUAAAAGUGGAACAAUACAGAGAAGGUUAGCAUGACCCCUGCACAAGGAUGACAUGCAAAUUUGUGAAGCAUUCCAUAUUAAA